Drosophila subobscura is the source of this 1365-nucleotide long non-coding RNA. RefSeq lists it as uncharacterized. The record is from RefSeq and is a predicted model, not a curated record. NCBI's taxonomy places the organism in Eukaryota, Metazoa, Arthropoda, Insecta, Diptera, Drosophilidae. The transcript is spliced from 3 exons.
UUGUGCGCGUCGCGUCGUCUUUUUUCGGGUUUUCGCGUAUUUAACGAUAAAGAAUGGCAAUCCAUCCUUAUCAUUUCACGAGUUAUGGCAUAUCCUGAAGGGGAGCUGUGAAAAAACUACAAUUUCGCUUGACACGCGCACCUGUGCCACGACAGUGUCGCCAACAGGAGCACCGCACCCACACCACCGCACGCCUCUCACAACUUUGGCUUUUUUGCGUGGUUCCCUUUUGCUAUGUUGCGUGUUUGUGACAUCUACAUUUACGUCCAAGGUGAUUCCCUCACCCCUCGCCUUCGCCGUCAUCCUCUGCGGCAGUGCAGUUAACAAAUCCCAAUCCCAGCGGAGGGACACGGAAUUUAUGUUUUAUUUGUGGAUACGAUACCAGCACAUUUCACCGUUAAGUCAUUCGUCAGCGUUGUCACACCACCUAACGGAAGUAAGCAAGGGCAAAAGAAACAAAGCGGAGAAGGAAGAGCAACGAAAAGUGAUGAGAAAACAAAUGCAAAAGAUGGAAUAAGCAACAACUGUGUCCACGCGCCGAUUUCCUUUUGGACAAAAGAUGCUGUUUCCCCCACAUUGACGCUGAUUAAUGUUGGAAAUGUGAUAAUUUGAUGCUGCCAACGACAGAAUAAAAGGGUGAAUGAAUACCAGCUCUGGAGUACAUAAAUCAUAUCAAUAGCCGUCGUCCUCCAAUCGAAGCUUCGAGUGCAGCUUGGAAUUCAACAUUGCUGGAAAUUCCUGUGUCCGCUUCUGACUCCACUCCUGGCUCCACACUGAUGCGAUGCUCUUGCUGCUGCCGAUGCGAUGCGAUGCGAUGCGAUGCGAAUGAACGAACGAGACAAGGAGAUCAUUACAUUGACAUAUUCAGGCACACAGAGACCCACGAGUCCAUCCGUGAGGCAUUCCACAGAAACAAUGAGGAUUGAAGCACGCGACCAUGUAGCAAAGCGACUUACAGAGACACUGCGUCCCACGCGAAGCAGAAAUCAACCUGCCCCGUGCCCGGUCCUUUUGUCUUGAGAAGGCUGAGGCGAAGAGGCCACAUCCACAUCUCACAGUUGUCGUCGCUCUAUCUGCAACAUGGAAAUGGGGAUUGGCAUUCGCAUUCGGAUUCGGACGUGGACUCACUGCCACAGGAAUGAAUGCUUAUCAAAAAGGCGCACUUGUACCUGUCAUAAAACCAACUGAAAUAUUGGCGUGGCAGCCAACAGAAAAGAGACCCCAAAAACGGGAGAAAGAGGAACAGUAACAAGUGCAAGUUCUCGUCCCCGCCCUCUACGUCUCCCUUGUGGCCUUUGCAGUUAAUUCUUUUUUAAUAAACUGCACAAAAGUCCACUCCAGGUGGAGGCCAGCAAAAACAAAAAG